This 497-nucleotide ribosomal RNA is filed under the name uncultured bacterium. RNAcentral's name for it is "partial 16S ribosomal RNA". It matches the Rfam family "Bacterial small subunit ribosomal RNA", at positions 28 to 507 of the family's 1533-position model. The record is from RNAcentral.
GAUGAACGCUGGCGGCGUGCCUAAUACAUGCAAGUCGAGCGAACAGACGAGGAGCUUGCUCCUCUGACGUUAGCGGCGGACGGGUGAGUAACACGUGGAUAACCUACCUAUAAGACUGGGAUAACUUCGGGACACCGGAGCUAAUACCGGAUAAUAUAUUGAACCGCAUGGUUCAAUAGUGAAAGACGGUUUUGCUGUCACUUAUAGAUGUAUCCGCGCCGCUUUAGCUAGUUGGUAAGGUAACGGCUUACCAAGGCAACGAUGCGUAGCCGACCUGAGAGGGUGAUCGGCCACACUGGAACAGAAACACGGUCCAGACUCCUACGGAAGGCAGCAGUAGGGAAUCUUCCGCAAUGGGCGAAAGCCUGACGGAGCAACGCCGCGUGAGUGAUGAAGGUCUUCGGAUCGUAAAACUCUGUUAUUAGGGAAGAACAAAUGUGUAAGUAACUAUGCACGUCUUGACGGUACCUAAUCAGAAAGCCACGGCUAACUACGUG